Molecule: ribosomal RNA, 253 nt
Filed under: uncultured bacterium
Lineage: Bacteria
Description: partial 16S ribosomal RNA
Rfam family: Bacterial small subunit ribosomal RNA
Source: RNAcentral
UACGUAGGGUCCGAGCGUUGUCCGGAAUUAUUGGGCGUAAAGAGCUCGUAGGCGGUUUGUCGCGUCUGCUGUGAAAACCCAGGGCUUAACCCUGGGCUUGCAGUGGAUACGGGCAGACUAGAGGCAGGUAGGGGAGAAUGGAAUUCCCGGUGUAGCGGUGAAAUGCGCAGAUAUCGGGAGGAACACCGGUGGCGAAGGCGGUUCUCUGGGCCUGACCUGACGCUGAGGAGCGAAAGCGUGGGGAGCGAACAGG